RNAcentral lists this ribosomal RNA (279 nucleotides) under uncultured bacterium. RNAcentral describes it as "partial 16S ribosomal RNA". It matches the Rfam family "Bacterial small subunit ribosomal RNA", at positions 506 to 784 of the family's 1533-position model. The record is from RNAcentral.
UGCCAGCCGCCGCGGUAAUACGUAGGGCGCAAGCGUUGUUCGGAAUCACUGGGCGUAAAGGGCGCGUAGGCGGAACGGUCAGCUAGGGGUGAAAGCCCGAGGCUCAACCUCGGAAUAGCUUCUAGAACUGCCGUUCUUGAGAAGGUUAGAGGUUAGCGGAAUUCCUGGUGUAGAGGUGAAAUUCGUAGAGAUCAGGAGGAACAUCGGCGGCGAAAGCGGCUAACUGGGACCUAUCUGACGCUGAUGCGCGAAAGCGUGGGGAGCAAACAGGAUUAGAUA